Molecule: long non-coding RNA, 914 nt
Organism: Nymphaea colorata (pocket water lily)
Lineage: Eukaryota; Viridiplantae; Streptophyta; Magnoliopsida; Nymphaeales; Nymphaeaceae
Exons: 5
Source: RefSeq, a predicted model, not a curated record
GUGAGCUCCCUCGCUACGAGAAGACAACAGCCAUCGACAAAAAAUAGCCACCUCGGAGCCCUCAUUCCCCACCACUCAGCCAUCGUCCCUCUGCCAUUGACUAUAAUACUCAGAUCCACCACCGCCCACCGCUCAGCCACUGCGACAGGAAAUUGCUGGACUGCCAGAAUCAAGGCUCACUACCCGACCCAUAGCGUCCCGGCUACAGGUAAUCCGUUGUGCCGGAGGUCGAACAGAGUCGCCCCUUUCUCUAACGCUGCUCCGACCGAACGCCGUGGUCUGUUCCGCCGUCGCCGGCCGUUCAACCACUGUGAUGGAAUUGGUGGACUGCCAUAAUCAAGGGUAACUGCUCGUCCCAUAGAGACCUAGCUACAGUUGCAAUGCAGGUUCAUAAAGGAUGCAUAUCAGUAGUAUUGGUGAAGGAGAUGAUUUUGUCAAUGUACCAGAUUGAAAACCUGUUCGUGCAAAGGGAACUGCAAAACGAUGUGUGUUUGGGUGAGAGCAAACCAAAUUGCAUAGGUUGUGUGCAUCCUAUCAAAGACAUGCACAUGACUCUCGCACAUGUCCUCUUAGGAUGAAUGCAAUGAACACUUCAAUGGAUAGUGGUACAGAUAAAUAUAUGAUGUGUCAUAAUGUCAAGGAACAUGUGAUGAUAAGAGAAACUGCCCAAAGAUGAAGGAUGCUGGUAUAGUUUUGCACACAUGUGCAAUGGAUAGAUUUACUUCACAUGAUAUGUAAAUUGCUUUUACUUUCAAGCAGGACUAUAACUUGUGUGAUUGUAUUUGUUUUACAUGUACGUGUGCUCCAAUUUGCUGGUGAAUAGCAUACUAGUACAUUUGGUUGCAUUCGACCUGUGUUGGCAACUUUAGUUUUCUUAUAUUUGAUCACAAUCAAUGGGGCAUUUCUUACGUUUA